RNAcentral lists this ribosomal RNA (253 nucleotides) under uncultured bacterium. RNAcentral describes it as "partial 16S ribosomal RNA". It matches the Rfam family "Bacterial small subunit ribosomal RNA", at positions 524 to 776 of the family's 1533-position model. The record is from RNAcentral.
UACGUAGGGGGCAAGCGUUGUCCGGAAUCAUUGGGCGUAAAGCGCGUGUAGGCGGCCCAGUAAGUCCGCUGUGAAAGCCCAGGGCUCAACCCUGGGAUGCCGGUGGAUACUGUUGGGCUCGAGUCCGGAAGAGGCGAGUGGAAUUCCCGGUGUAGCGGUGAAAUGCGCAGAUAUCAGGAGGAACACCGAUGGCGAAGGCAGCUCGCUGGGACGGUACUGACGCUGAGGCGCGAAGGCCAGGGGAGCAAACGGG